RNAcentral lists this ribosomal RNA (371 nucleotides) under uncultured bacterium. RNAcentral's name for it is "bacterial SSU rRNA". It matches the Rfam family "Bacterial small subunit ribosomal RNA", at positions 9 to 369 of the family's 1533-position model. The record is from RNAcentral.
GAGUUUGAUCAUGGCUCAGGAUAAACGCUGGCGGCGCACAUAAGACAUGCAAGUCGAACGAACUUAACCUUAAUGUUUACAUUUAGGAGCGGUUAGUGGCGGACUGGUGAGUAACACGUAAGUAAUCUGCCUAUCAGAGGGGAAUAACAAUGAGAAAUCAUUGCUAAUACCGCAUAUGCUGUAAGGUUCGCAUGAACCAAGCAGGAAAGGAGCAAUCCGCUGAUAGAUGAGCUUGCGUCUGAUUAGCUAGUUGGUGUGGUAACGGCAUACCAAGGCAACGAUCAGUAGCCGAGCUGAGAGGCUCAACGGCCACAUUGGGACUGAGAUACGGCCCAGACUCCUACGGGAGGCAGCAGUCGGGAAUAUUGCAC